This 497-nucleotide ribosomal RNA is filed under the name uncultured bacterium. RNAcentral's name for it is "partial 16S ribosomal RNA". It matches the Rfam family "Bacterial small subunit ribosomal RNA", at positions 28 to 507 of the family's 1533-position model. The record is from RNAcentral.
GACGAACGCUGGCGGCGUGCCUAAUACAUGCAAGUAGAACGCUGAAGAGAGGAGCUUACUCUUCUUGGAUGAGUUGCGAACGGGUGAGUAACGCGUAGGUAACCUGCCUUGUAGCGGGGGAUAACUAUUGGAAACGAUAGCUAAUACCGCAUAACAAUGGGUGACACAUGUCAUUUAUUUGAAAGGGGCAAUUGCUCCACUACAAGAUGGACCUGCGUUGUAUUAGCUAGUAGGUGAGGUAAUGGCUCACCUAGGCGACGAUACAUAGCCGACCUGAGAGGGUGAUCGGCCAGACUGGGACUGAGACACGGCCCAGACUCCUACGGGAGGCAGCAGUAGGGAAUCUUCGGCAAUGGGGGCAACCCUGACCGAGCAACGCCGCGUGAGUGAAGAAGGUUUUCGGAUCGUAAAGCUCUGUUGUAAGUCAAGAACGGGUGUGAGAGUGGAAAGUUCACACUGUGACGGUAGCUUACCAGAAAGGGACGGCUAACUACGUG